GGUGAACGCUGGCGGUAGGCCUAACACAUGCAAGUCGAACGGCAGCACAGUAAGAGCUUGCUCUCACGGGUGGCGAGUGGCGGACGGGUGAGGAAUACAUCGGAAUCUACCUUUUCGUGGGGGAUAACGUCGGGAAACUUACGCUAAUACCGCAUACGACCUACGGGUGAAAGCAUGGGAUCUUCUGACCUUGCGCGAUUGAAUGAGCCGACGUCGGAUUAGCUAGUUGGCGGGGUAAAGGCCCACCAAGGCGACGAUCCGUAGCUGGUCUGAGAGGGUGGUCAGCGACACUAGAACUGAGACACGGUCCAGACUCCUGCAGGAGGCAGCAGUCGAGAAUAUUGGGCAAGGCGGGAAGGGCUAAUCCAGCCAAACCGCGUGGAGGAAGAAGGCCUUAGGGUUGUAGAGCCAUUUUGUUGGGAAAGAAAAGCAGCAGGUUAAUACCCCGCUGUACUGACAGUGCCCAAAGAAUAAGCACCGGCUAACUUCGUG
This 492-nucleotide ribosomal RNA is filed under the name uncultured bacterium. Its description in RNAcentral is "partial 16S ribosomal RNA". It matches the Rfam family "Bacterial small subunit ribosomal RNA", at positions 28 to 507 of the family's 1533-position model. The record is from RNAcentral.